This 72-nucleotide transfer RNA is filed under the name Dipodomys ordii (Ord's kangaroo rat). It matches the Rfam family "tRNA". Rfam says of the family: Transfer RNA (tRNA) molecules are approximately 80 nucleotides in length. Their secondary structure includes four short double-helical elements and three loops (D, anti-codon, and T loops). Lineage: Eukaryota; Metazoa; Chordata; Mammalia; Rodentia; Heteromyidae. The record is from Rfam by way of RNAcentral.
UGCAGCAUAGCUCAGUGGUAGAACAUAUACUUAGCAUGCUUAAAGACCUGGGUUCAAUCCCCAGCACUACAA